Molecule: RNase P RNA, 351 nt
Filed under: Alteromonas sp. KUL49
Lineage: Bacteria; Pseudomonadati; Pseudomonadota; Gammaproteobacteria; Alteromonadales; Alteromonadaceae
Description: Bacterial RNase P class A
Rfam family: Bacterial RNase P class A
About the family: Ribonuclease P (RNase P) is a ubiquitous endoribonuclease, found in archaea, bacteria and eukarya as well as chloroplasts and mitochondria. Its best characterised activity is the generation of mature 5'-ends of tRNAs by cleaving the 5'-leader elements of precursor-tRNAs.
Source: Rfam by way of RNAcentral
GGAGUUGGCCAGGCAAUCGCCGCUUUCUUAUGAAAGGGGAGGAAAGUCCGGGCUCCAAAGGGCAGGGUGCCAGAUAACGUCUGGGCGGCGUGAGCCGACGACAAGUGCAGCAGAGAGUAGACCGCCUAUGUUAGCUCGCUAACAGGUAAGGGUGAAAGGGUGCGGUAAGAGCGCACCGCGUGCCUGGCAACAGGUUACGGCGAGGUAAACUCCACCCGGAGCAAGACCAAAUAGGAUCCCUUAACGUGUGGCCCGCAUGGGGAUCGGGUAGGUUGCUUGAGCUAGUGAGUGAUUGCUAGCCUAGAGGAAUGAUUGUCCACGACAGAACCCGGCUUAUGGCCAACUCCGCUC